RNAcentral lists this unclassified non-coding RNA (379 nucleotides) under uncultured Gammaproteobacteria bacterium. Its description in RNAcentral is "contains 16S-23S intergenic spacer region". Lineage: Bacteria; Pseudomonadati; Pseudomonadota; Gammaproteobacteria. The record is from RNAcentral.
UCCGGCUUAUCACCGGCAGUCCCCUUAGAGUGCCCAACUAAAUGAUGGCAACUAAGGGCGAGGGUUGCGCUCGUUGCGGGACUUAACCCAACAUCUCACGACACGAGCUGACGACAGCCAUGCAGCACCUGUCACCGGUCCAGCCGAACUGAAGGUAAUCAUCUCUGAAAACCGCGACCGGGAUGUCAAGGGUAGGUAAGGUUUUUCGCGUUGCAUCGAAUUAAUCCACAUAAUCCACCGCUUGUGCGGGUCCCCGUCAAUUCCUUUGAGUUUUAACCUUGCGGCCGUACUCCCCAGGCGGUCAACUUCACGCGUUAGCUUCGUUACCAAGGAAUUGCUUCCCCGACAACCAGUUGACAUAGUUUAGGGCGUGGACUAC